This 494-nucleotide ribosomal RNA is filed under the name uncultured bacterium. Its description in RNAcentral is "partial 16S ribosomal RNA". It matches the Rfam family "Bacterial small subunit ribosomal RNA", at positions 28 to 507 of the family's 1533-position model. The record is from RNAcentral.
GACGAACGCUGGCGGCGUGCUUAACACAUGCAAGUCGAACGGUGAAGCGCCUUCCUUUUUGGUGGGUGUGGAUGAGUGGCGAACGGGUGAGUAACACGUGAGUAACCUGCCCCCUUCUUCUGGAUAACCGCAUGAAAGUGUGGCUAAUACGGGAUAUUCUGGGUCUGUCGCAUGAUGGGUCUGGGAAAGAUAUUGUUUCGGUGGGGGAUGGGCUCGCGGCCUAUCAGCUUGUUGGUGGGGUGAUGGCCUACCAAGGCGGUGACGGGUAGCCGGCCUGAGAGGGUGGACGGUCACACUGGGACUGAGACACGGACCAGACUCCUACGGGAGGCAGCAGUGGGGAAUAUUGCACAAUGGGAGCAAGCCUGAUGCAGCGACGCCGCGUGAGGGAUGGAGGCCUUCGGGUUGUGAACCUCUUUCGCCAGUGAAGCAGGCCUGCCUCGUUUGUGGGUGGGUUGACGGUAGCUGGAUAAGAAGCGCCGGCUAACUACGUG